GAUGAAGAACGUAGCGAAAUGCGAUACGUAAUGUGAAUUGCAAAUUCAGUGAAUCAUCGAGUCUUUGAACGCACAUUGCGCCCCCUGGUAUUCCGGGGGGCAUGCCUGUCCGAGCGUCAUUGCUGCCCUCAAGCACGGCUUGUGUGUUGGGCCCCGUCCUCCGAUCCCGGGGGACGGGCCCGAAAGGCAGCGGCGGCACCGCGUCCGGUCCUCGAGCGUAUGGGGCUUUGUCACCCGCUCUGUAGGCCCGGCCGGCGCUUGCCGAUCAACCCAAAUUAUUAUCCAGGUUGACCUCGGAUCAGGUAGGGAUACCCGCUGAACUUAAGCAUAUCAAUAAGCGGAGGA
RNAcentral lists this unclassified non-coding RNA (345 nucleotides) under soil metagenome. Its description in RNAcentral is "partial contains 5.8S ribosomal RNA, internal transcribed spacer 2, and large subunit ribosomal RNA". The stretch from base 1 to 119 matches the Rfam family "5.8S ribosomal RNA", at positions 35 to 154 of the family's 154-position model. The record is from RNAcentral.